Molecule: non-coding RNA, 130 nt
Organism: Brachypodium distachyon (stiff brome)
Lineage: Eukaryota; Viridiplantae; Streptophyta; Magnoliopsida; Poales; Poaceae
Source: Rfam
CACAUACUUCCUCCGUCCAACAAUGUAUGUCUCAACUUUAACUAAAUUUAAAUGCAUCUAUACACUAAAUUAGAUACAUUUAAAAUUUGACAAACUUGAGACAUCUUUUGUUGAACGGAGGGAGUACUAU